This 464-nucleotide ribosomal RNA is filed under the name Vreelandella stevensii. RNAcentral's name for it is "partial 16S ribosomal RNA". It matches the Rfam family "Bacterial small subunit ribosomal RNA", at positions 338 to 795 of the family's 1533-position model. Lineage: Bacteria; Pseudomonadati; Pseudomonadota; Gammaproteobacteria; Oceanospirillales; Halomonadaceae. The record is from RNAcentral.
CCUACGGGGUCAGCAGUGGGGAAUAUUGGACAAUGGGCGAAAGCCUGAUCCAGCCAUGCCGCGUGUGUGAAGAAGGCCUUCGGGUUGUAAAGCACUUUCAGUGGGGAAGAAAGCCUUGGGGCUAAUACCCUCGAGGAAGGACAUCACCCACAGAAGAAGCACCGGCUAACUCCGUGCCAGCAGCCGCGGUAAUACGGAGGGUGCGAGCGUUAAUCGGAAUUACUGGGCGUAAAGCGCGCGUAGGCGGUCUGAUAAGCCGGUUGUGAAAGCCCCGGGCUCAACCUGGGAACGGCAUCCGGAACUGUCAGGCUAGAGUGCAGGAGAGGAAGGUAGAAUUCCCGGUGUAGCGGUGAAAUGCGUAGAGAUCGGGAGGAAUACCAGUGGCGAAGGCGGCCUUCUGGACUGACACUGACGCUGAGGUGCGAAAGCGUGGGUAGCAAACAGGAUUAGAUACCCGUGUAGUC